RNAcentral lists this ribosomal RNA (429 nucleotides) under Chloroflexota bacterium. RNAcentral describes it as "Chloroflexi bacterium partial 16S ribosomal RNA". It matches the Rfam family "Bacterial small subunit ribosomal RNA", at positions 355 to 776 of the family's 1533-position model. The record is from RNAcentral. Lineage: Bacteria; Bacillati; Chloroflexota.
UGGGGAAUAUUGCACAAUGGGCGCAAGCCUGAUGCAGCCAUGCCGCGUGUGUGAAGAAGGCCUUCGGGUUGUAAAGCACUUUCAGCGGGGAGGAAGGCGUUAAGGUUAAUAACCUUGGCGAUUGACGUUACCCGCAGAAGAAGCACCGGCUAACUCCGUGCCAGCAGCCGCGGUAAUACGGAGGGUGCAAGCGUUAAUCGGAAGUACUGGGCGUAAAGCGCACGCAGGCGGUCUGUCAAAUCGGAUGUGAAAUCCCCGGGCUCAACCUGGGAACAGCAUUCAAAACUGGCAGGCUAGAGUAUUGUAGAGGGCGGUAGAAGUCCAGGUGUAGCGGUGAAAUGCGUAGAGAGCUGGAAGAAUACCGGUGGCAAAGGCGGCCCCCUGGACAAAGACUGACGCUCAGGUGCGAAAGCGUGGGGAGCAAACAGG